This 440-nucleotide ribosomal RNA is filed under the name uncultured bacterium. RNAcentral describes it as "partial 16S ribosomal RNA". It matches the Rfam family "Bacterial small subunit ribosomal RNA", at positions 338 to 795 of the family's 1533-position model. The record is from RNAcentral.
CCUACGGGAGGCAGCAGUAGGGAAUUUUGCGCAAUGGGCGAAAGCCUGACGCAGCAACGCCGCGUGAUCGAGACGCCCUUCGGGUUGUAAAGAUCUUUUAGUGGGGACGAAACUUGACGGUACCCACAGAGUAAGCACCGGCUAACUCCGUGCCAGCAGCCGCGGUAAUACGGGGGGUGCAAGCGUUAUCCGGAAUCAUUGGGCGUAAAGAGUUCGUAGGCGGCACGGAAAGUCAGGUGUGAAAGGCAGAGGCUCAACUUCUGUACGGCACUGGAUACUGGCAAGCUAGAAUGUGGUAGAGGUAGGGGGAAUUCCUGGUGUAGGGGUGAAAUGCGUAGAUAUCAGGAGGAACAUCGGUGGCGUAGGCGCUUUACUGGACCGUAAUUGACGCUGAGGAGCGAAAGCGAGGGGAGCAAAUGGGAUUAGAUACCCUAGUAGUC